AGUUGUAAGAUUUAGGCUGUUUGAUCUGUGGUAUCUGCGUGUCUCCCCUAAAUAUCAAAGUGAUGUGACAUUAACAUGCCAAAUGAUGAAGAGCAAGAGUUAAAGAUGUAGAAGAUACACAUCUUUCAAGGUACUAACUACCAGGGCCGGACCUAGGGUAACAAAGGAAAGGAGUUUGGGAAAUACAGUUUGUGCACUGAAUUCUAAUGGUUGAAGAUUCAAGGCGUGAUAGUACAGGAAUUAGAAAACUAUGAUGGCAACUUUAAGAAUCAGCAAUCAUGAAAAAGUACAAUUAUGUUCAACAGAUUAACCACGCGUAGAUGCAAAGUUUAAUGGACAUAGAAAAGUAGUUGCACCUUAUAUCCCUCUAGCUACCAUGAUUUCAGCAAUAAGCUAGCUUCCCCAGUAACAAUAAAAAUAUAUAUAUAAUGACGCUAAAAAUAGUUAUUGAAUAAGAUGACGACGACGACGACGAUGAUAAUAAUAAUAAAUGGCCACCUUUAUGGAUUCCCCAACCAUUUGCAAACAAAGGACCGAACCCUCGAAAAUCUUCGUGUCAUUUCUCAAGGAGUCUAGCUACGAAAAAUUCCCUGACCUGGAGCAGAGAGAUGAGCAAGUGCUGCUUCUACCAAUUUGGGUUCUGAAACUGUAUGAACACACACAUGCACAGUCAGUUUACUAGCAUGAUCAAUUCAAGAAAGCAACGCAGUAAACAAUGACUGCACGAGUACUUGAGAGAAGCUGGUGAUUUAGAAGAAACAUAAAUUAAAAAGCAACAUAGUUCACAGUGACAAGUUCUACCAAAUAUGCUUAACAAAGAUUUCAAAGCAGACACCACUUCCAGCCGAAAACUGGAUCUAAGAACUAG
RNAcentral lists this long non-coding RNA (868 nucleotides) under Olea europaea subsp. europaea. Lineage: Eukaryota; Viridiplantae; Streptophyta; Magnoliopsida; Lamiales; Oleaceae. The record is from RNAcentral.